ACGGCUCAGUAACACGUGGACAAUCUGCCCUUGGGUCUGGGAUAACUCCGGGAAACUGGAGAUAAUACCAGAUAGGUCAUAGAUGCUGGAAUGCUCUAUGGCCCAAAGCUCCGGCGCCCAAGGAUGAGUCUGCGGCCUAUCAGGUUGUAGUGGGCGUAAUGGACCCACUAGCCUACGACGGGUACGGGUUGUGAGAGCAAGAGCCCGGAGAUGGAUUCUGAGACAUGAAUCCAGGCCCUACGGGGCGCAGCAGGCGCGAAACCUUUACAAUGCGCGCAAGCGCGAUAAGGGGACCUCGAGUGUUCCUACCUAGUAGGAACUGUCCAGUUGUCUAAAAAACAACUGUUAGCAAGAGCCGGGCAAGACCGGUGCCAGCCGCCGCGGUAACACCGGCGGCUCGAGUGGUGACCGCUUUUAUUGGGUCUAAAGGGUCUGUAGCCGGUCUAACAAGUUCUUUGGAAAAUCUGGUCGCUUAACGAUCAGGCUGCUAGGGGAUACUGUUAGACUUGGGACCGGGAGAGGCUAGAGGUACUUUAGGGGUAGGGGUGAAAUCCUGUGAUCCUUAAAGGACCACCAGUGGCGAAGGCGUCUAGCUAGAACGGAUCCGACGGUGAGGGACGAAAGCUCGGGGCACGAACCGGAUUAGAUACCCGGGUAGUCCCAGCCGUAAACGAUGCGAGCUAGGUGUCAGUUUUACUGCGAGUAAAAUUGGUGCCGUAGGGAAGCCGUGAAGCUCGCCACCUGGGAAGUACGGCCGCAAGGCUGAAACUUAAAGGAAUUGGCGGGGGAGCACUACAACGGGUGGAGCCUGCGGUUUAAUU
This 821-nucleotide ribosomal RNA is filed under the name uncultured archaeon. RNAcentral's name for it is "bacterial SSU rRNA". It matches the Rfam family "Archaeal small subunit ribosomal RNA", at positions 85 to 907 of the family's 1478-position model. The record is from RNAcentral.